This 580-nucleotide long non-coding RNA is filed under the name Triticum aestivum (bread wheat). RNAcentral's name for it is "long non-coding RNA (TAES_LNC019007)". Lineage: Eukaryota; Viridiplantae; Streptophyta; Magnoliopsida; Poales; Poaceae. The record is from RNAcentral.
UAGAUGGAUUUCAUAUGUUUUGUUUGGCAUGCAGGCAAUCGGCCUCUUCUUAAAGCACGACAUUGACAACUGUGGACAUGUAGGUCUCCUAAUGAACUCUCGACACAAUUGAUUUCAUGAGUUGGCAACAAAAAAUAACAAAAUGCUUCAUUAGCUUACCUGGCUUGAUUGGCAUGAUGCAGUUGGGAGGCUUGCUUGGGGGAGCGGCUGUCGAAUGGUUUGUUGGUCCACAUUGGAAGAAGCAUGUUGGGCCGUAUGGACGGGAGGCAUUCCAAGACAGGGCACCACUUGUUUCGCUCACGGACAGUUAGAAGACCAUAUUUACUUCUUGGCUUGUACAUUGAAUCAACAUGCCCAUAUACAAAUACAGACAUUAAUUAAGCAAAGUGCAAAGUACAAACAUCUCCCAGUAGAACUUUCGCAUUUCUCCAGUCUCCAGAAUCUAGCUAGCCUUCCACACUUGCAUUGGAGCUUGUUGUACUAGUGUUUAGGUGCAGUUGCGGCCGUUUUUUUGUUAACCAAUACUACAAAGUCACAUGCAAUUGUUGUAUUUACCUUGUUUAUUAAAAGUAUAACUAAU